This 431-nucleotide unclassified non-coding RNA is filed under the name Hevea brasiliensis (rubber tree). The record is from RNAcentral. Lineage: Eukaryota; Viridiplantae; Streptophyta; Magnoliopsida; Malpighiales; Euphorbiaceae.
UUCUUGCCAUGCAUGCCAAUGUUGCGGUUGGAGAUAUGUUGUGCGAUUGAACUGUGGCGGAGAGAAUAGCAUCGUCAGGUCCUGUUUGGGUUACAAUAAUCAAGUUCCUCUAGGGUGGAACAAGGUUCCCUCUAAGGUUUGCUAGCUGAAGAGGGCUUGAGCCUUGGGGUUAAUGGCCUUAGUUGCGAAAUAGUGUUAGGUUCAUGUAUUUGGUCAUUGUCUUGUAUGGACAGACUUCAAGCAAUGUACAUGUGCUAUAAGCCCCUUUUCUUCAACAUGUUAAGGCUAGUCCCAUAAAAAUUGAAAAUGGAAAGCUAGGAACAUAUUCAUUUGUGGAAUAUAAUUUUUUAUUUUUUAAAAAAACUUUAGUUUUCAUUUUUUAUAAAAAAGAAAGAAAAAUAUAAAAAACGUGGUCACUUCCCAAUAAUAAA